Molecule: ribosomal RNA, 578 nt
Filed under: Heterotricha takkae
Lineage: Eukaryota; Metazoa; Arthropoda; Insecta; Diptera; Diadocidiidae
Description: eukaryotic LSU rRNA
Rfam family: Eukaryotic large subunit ribosomal RNA
Source: RNAcentral
AAACCGCUUAGGGGUUAAGCCCGAUGAACCUGAAUAUCUGAAUUGAGAAAUUCAAUACUAUUUCAGUAAUUUAUCUAAACAAUAAAUGAACGAUGGUAUGCACUUUUCUCAUAGUAAGACAUUGCGAUCCAUUAGUASUAUAUCUUUUAUGGAUGGUUUAUCAAACGGCCCGUUUGGUCAGUUUAUUCUAUCUGUGGCACUAGCUGUCAUAUGAAUAAUGCCGAUGCGGUGACCUGGUAAACAGCUGAUGGAGCUUAAAAAUCAUGCAGCCAUGCAUUAUGUAUCACGGUUUGAGUAUUUUUAAUAUUCGAAUGCAGUGAUCGCAUGUAUUUGAUUAGCAAUGCGAUAGAUUUGGGAUACCUUCGGGACCCGUCUUGUAACACGGACCAAGAAGUCUAACAUGUGUGUAAGUCAUUGGGUAUUUUGUUGAAACCUAAAGGCGCAAUUAAAAUAACUAUAUUAUUAUGGGAUUACAAGUGAAUUAAUAUUUCACUUCUCCAUCCCGGGGCGUUCUAUACGAACAUGGUUUAAGCAAUUAGAUCCUCUGUUCAAGAGCGUACCUUGAACAUACAUGCUGU